UACGUAGGGCGCGAGCGUUGUCCGGAAUCAUUGGGCGUAAAGAGCGCGCAGGCGGCUUGGCAAGUCGGAUGUGAAAGCCCCGGGCUCAACCUGGGAAUUGCAUUCGAGACUGAAUAGCUAGGGUGCGGUAGAGGGAAGCGGAAUUUCCGGUGUAGCGGUGAAAUGCGUAGAUAUCGGAAGGAACAUCAGUGGCGAAAGCGGCUUCCUGGACCAGCACCGACGUUCAGGCACGAAAGCGUGGGGAGCAAACAGG
RNAcentral lists this ribosomal RNA (253 nucleotides) under uncultured bacterium. Its description in RNAcentral is "partial 16S ribosomal RNA". It matches the Rfam family "Bacterial small subunit ribosomal RNA", at positions 524 to 776 of the family's 1533-position model. The record is from RNAcentral.